GGCUGAUGGGAGUCAUUGCAGAUUUGAGUCACGCAUGCUCAGAUUUAGACGGUUUACAGCACAACGUGUCAUACUGAUAUUUGUGAAACCCAUGAAAUAAAAACUUUUCUCAUUACAAACAAUGGCAAAAGAUGGAAAUCGUAUCAAAAACGUUGUAGCU
Etheostoma spectabile (orangethroat darter) is the source of this 160-nucleotide long non-coding RNA. RefSeq lists it as uncharacterized. The transcript is spliced from 3 exons. The record is from RefSeq and is a predicted model, not a curated record. Lineage: Eukaryota; Metazoa; Chordata; Actinopteri; Perciformes; Percidae.